RNAcentral lists this microRNA precursor (57 nucleotides) under Panagrellus redivivus. Its description in RNAcentral is "microRNA prd-mir-7926 precursor". The record is from miRBase by way of RNAcentral. Lineage: Eukaryota; Metazoa; Nematoda; Chromadorea; Rhabditida; Panagrolaimidae.
GUAAGUUGGCUGCGAUUUGAAUACUUCAAUUCUAUUGAAAUCAUGUCAAACUUACAG